UGUGGGGUCCACAGGAUAUUCCCAUAGUUCUAGGAGAGGACAGACAUUAGCCUGCCUAAAGAAACAUCAAGCAGAGCCCCAGGAAUAAACUGUGGAAUUCCUAACGAUUCAAAAAGAUUUGCAGGAUGCAUCAGACCUGCCUAGACAUUGUAAGGCCCUUCUUGGGAAUGGAGUUAGAAGAGCAUAUUCCAGCGAUAACCUCACAGUCAUGAAAUGGUUCUUCCUCCAGCGUGACCCAACCAUGGUGAUGGUCAUAGGAGUCCUAAGGAUGAAAUCCCAAGACGAUGGAGGAGUGUCACCUCACAACAUGAAGCACCCACUCAGCUGUGAACCAAAUUCGAGGAUCAUGGGACUAUACUGUGGAUCCCACAAAAAAGACAGUUCAAUUUGAGAUAUAGAAACACUGGAACAUUUCACAGCAUGGCCU
Molecule: long non-coding RNA, 427 nt
Organism: Homo sapiens (human)
Lineage: Eukaryota; Metazoa; Chordata; Mammalia; Primates; Hominidae
Gene: TTTY22
Product: testis expressed transcript, Y-linked 22
Source: Ensembl